CAGGCAUCACACAUGCUAGUCGAACGCAUCUUUGGGGAUGAGUGGCAGACGGGUGAGUAACACGUGGGAAUGUGCCCUUCGGUUCGGAAUAACUGAGGGAAACUUGAGCUAAUACCGGAUACGCCCUUUUGGGCAAAGAUUUAUUGCCGAAGGAUGGGCCCGCGUCUGAUUAGCUAGUUGGUGAGGUAAUGGCUCACCAAGGCGACGAUCAGUAGCUGGUCUGAGAGGAUGAUCAGCCACACUGGGACUGAGACACGGCCCAGACUCCUACGGGAGGCAGCAGUGGGGAAUAUUGGACAAUGGGCGCAAGCCUGAUCCAGCCAUGCCGCGUGAGUGAUGAAGGCCUUAGGGUUGUAAAGCUCUUUUACCCGGGAAGAUAAUGACUGUACCGGGAGAAUAAGCCCCGGCUAACUUCGUGCCAGCAGCCGCGGUAAU
Molecule: ribosomal RNA, 435 nt
Filed under: uncultured bacterium
Lineage: Bacteria
Description: bacterial SSU rRNA
Rfam family: Bacterial small subunit ribosomal RNA
Source: RNAcentral